UUGGAGGGCAAGUCUGGUGCCAGCAGCCGCGGUAAUUCCAGCUCCAAUAGCGUAUAUUAAAGUUGUUGCAGUUAAAAAGCUCGUAGUUGAAUUUCGGGACCAUCAUGUCGGUCGUGCCUCGGUACGUACUGGCAUUGUUGGUUUCUCCCUUCUGACGAACCAUGAUGUCAUUUAUUUGGUGUUGUGGGGAAUCAGGACUGUUACUUUGAAAAAAUUAGAGUGUUUAAAGCAGGCUCACGCUUGAAUACAUUAGCAUGGAAUAAAGAAAUAGGACGUUUGAUUCUAUUUUGUUGGUUUCUAGGAUCGACGUAAUGAUUAAUAGGGAUAGUUGGGGGCAUUAGUAUUCGAUUGUCAGAGGUGAAAUUCUUGGAUUUAUUGAAGACUAACUACUGCGAAAGCAUUUGCCAAGGAUGUUUUCAUUAAUCAAGAACGAAAGUUAGGGGAUCGAAGACGAUCAGAUACCGUCGUAGUCUUAACCAUAAACUAUGCCGACUAGGGAUCGGAUGAUGUUAAUUUUUUAAUGACUCAUUCGGCGCCUUACGGGAAACCAAAGUGUUUGGGUUC
This 564-nucleotide ribosomal RNA is filed under the name uncultured Glomeromycotina. RNAcentral describes it as "SSU rRNA". It matches the Rfam family "Eukaryotic small subunit ribosomal RNA", at positions 548 to 1114 of the family's 1831-position model. The record is from RNAcentral. Lineage: Eukaryota; Fungi; Glomeromycota.